UUAGGGGGUACUAUAGAUCAUGCGAUGUUGGAGGGGCUGUCGCUUGACUUUUUGACACAAAAGUCUGUGCACGCCGGAGCACGUCCUCUCUCUCACAUAAAAUCCAUCUCACCCUUUUGUGCACCACCGCGCGGGCACCCUUUGGGAUGCUUGCGUUUUCACACAAACCCCUUUUAAAAAAGUGUAGAAUGACCCCACUUUGCGAUGACACGCAAUCAAUACAACUUUCAACAACGGAUCUCUUGGCUCUCGCAUCGAUGAAGAACGCAGCGAAAUGCGAUACGUAAUGUGAAUUGCAGAAUUCAGUGAAUCAUCGAAUCUUUGAACGCACCUUGCCCCCUUGUAUUCCGAGGGGACACCCGUUUGAUGCGGAAAUCUCAACCUUCUCGGUUUCUUCUGGCACCGAAGAGUUGAUUUGAGGCUUUGUGCGCUCUCUAGAGCAGUCUCUUAAUGAUACGGUCUCUUGCGUCUUGCUGGAAAAGUUCCUGCUCGUUUGGUUGUGAUUGGACGUCAACGCCGCAGCAGUUGGAGGCCCUCCGGAAUCCCGCCCCACCUGCUAACGGAAUACCAU
RNAcentral lists this unclassified non-coding RNA (571 nucleotides) under uncultured fungus. Its description in RNAcentral is "partial contains ITS1, 5.8S rRNA and ITS2". The stretch from base 223 to 372 matches the Rfam family "5.8S ribosomal RNA". The record is from RNAcentral. Lineage: Eukaryota; Fungi.